This 1692-nucleotide ribosomal RNA is filed under the name Escherichia coli. RNAcentral describes it as "partial 23S ribosomal RNA". It matches the Rfam family "Bacterial large subunit ribosomal RNA", at positions 1 to 1735 of the family's 2925-position model. The record is from RNAcentral. Lineage: Bacteria; Pseudomonadati; Pseudomonadota; Gammaproteobacteria; Enterobacterales; Enterobacteriaceae.
GGUUAAGCGACUAAGCGUACACGGUGGAUGCCCUGGCAGUCAGAGGCGAUGAAGGACGUGCUAAUCUGCGAUAAGCGUCGGUAAGGUGAUAUGAACCGUUAUAACCGGCGAUUUCCGAAUGGGGAAACCCAGUGUGAUUCGUCACACUAUCAUUAACUGAAUCCAUAGGUUAAUGAGGCGAACCGGGGGAACUGAAACAUCUAAGUACCCCGAGGAAAAGAAAUCAACCGAGAUUCCCCCAGUAGCGGCGAGCGAACGGGGAGGAGCCCAGAGCCUGAAUCAGUGUGUGUGUUAGUGGAAGCGUCUGGAAAGGCGCGCGAUACAGGGUGACAGCCCCGUACACAAAAAUGCACAUGCUGUGAGCUCGAUGAGUAGGGCGGGACACGUGGUAUCCUGUCUGAAUAUGGGGGGACCAUCCUCCAAGGCUAAAUACUCCUGACUGACCGAUAGUGAACCAGUACCGUGAGGGAAAGGCGAAAAGAACCCCGGCGAGGGGAGUGAAAAAGAACCUGAAACCGUGUACGUACAAGCAGUGGGAGCACGCUCAGGCGUGUGACUGCGUACCUUUUGUAUAAUGGGUCAGCGACUUAUAUUCUGUAGCAAGGUUAACCGAAUAGGGGAGCCGAAGGGAAACCGAGUCUUAACUGGGCGUUAAGUUGCAGGGUAUAGACCCGAAACCCGGUGAUCUAGCCAUGGGCAGGUUGAAGGUUGGGUAACACUAACUGGAGGACCGAACCGACUAAUGUUGAAAAAUUAGCGGAUGACUUGUGGCUGGGGGUGAAAGGCCAAUCAAACCGGGAGAUAGCUGGUUCUCCCCGAAAGCUAUUUAGGUAGCGCCUCGUGAAUUCAUCUCCGGGGGUAGAGCACUGUUUCGGCAAGGGGGUCAUCCCGACUUACCAACCCGAUGCAAACUGCGAAUACCGGAGAAUGUUAUCACGGGAGACACACGGCGGGUGCUAACGUCCGUCGUGAAGAGGGAAACAACCCAGACCGCCAGCUAAGGUCCCAAAGUCAUGGUUAAGUGGGAAACGAUGUGGGAAGGCCCAGACAGCCAGGAUGUUGGCUUAGAAGCAGCCAUCAUUUAAAGAAAGCGUAAUAGCUCACUGGUCGAGUCGGCCUGCGCGGAAGAUGUAACGGGGCUAAACCAUGCACCGAAGCUGCGGCAGCGACGCUUAUGCGUUGUUGGGUAGGGGAGCGUUCUGUAAGCCUGUGAAGGUGUGCUGUGAGGCAUGCUGGAGGUAUCAGAAGUGCGAAUGCUGACAUAAGUAACGAUAAAGCGGGUGAAAAGCCCGCUCGCCGGAAGACCAAGGGUUCCUGUCCAACGUUAAUCGGGGCAGGGUGAGUCGACCCCUAAGGCGAGGCCGAAAGGCGUAGUCGAUGGGAAACAGGUUAAUAUUCCUGUACUUGGUGUUACUGCGAAGGGGGGACGGAGAAGGCUAUGUUGGCCGGGCGACGGUUGUCCCGGUUUAAGCGUGUAGGCUGGUUUUCCAGGCAAAUCCGGAAAAUCAAGGCUGAGGCGUGAUGACGAGGCACUACGGUGCUGAAGCAACAAAUGCCCUGCUUCCAGGAAAAGCCUCUAAGCAUCAGGUAACAUCAAAUCGUACCCCAAACCGACACAGGUGGUCAGGUAGAGAAUACCAAGGCGCUUGAGAGAACUCGGGUGAAGGAACUAGGCAAAAUGGUGCCGUAACU